Molecule: ribosomal RNA, 452 nt
Filed under: uncultured bacterium
Lineage: Bacteria
Description: bacterial SSU rRNA
Rfam family: Bacterial small subunit ribosomal RNA
Source: RNAcentral
AGAGUUUGAUCAUGGCUCAGAACGAACGCUGGCGGCAUGCCUAACACAUGCAAGUCGAACGAAGUCUUCGGACUUAGUGGCGCACGGGUGCGUAACGCGUGGGAAUCUGCCUUGGGUGCGGAAUAACUUCUCGAAAGGGAUGCUAAUACCGCAUAAUGUCGUAAGACCAAAGAUUUAUCGCCCAAGGAUGAGCCCGCGUAAGAUUAGCUAGUUGGUGGGGUAAAAGCCUACCAAGGCGACGAUCUUUAGCUGGUCUGAGAGGAUGAUCAGCCACACUGGGACUGAGACACGGCCCAGACUCCUACGGGAGGCAGCAGUGGGGAAUAUUGGACAAUGGGCGAAAGCCUGAUCCAGCAAUGCCGCGUGAGUGAUGAAGGCCCUAGGGUUGUAAAGCUCUUUUACCAGGGAUGAUAAUGACAGUACCUGGAGAAUAAGCUCCGGCUAACUCCGUG